This 468-nucleotide ribosomal RNA is filed under the name uncultured bacterium. Its description in RNAcentral is "partial 16S ribosomal RNA". It matches the Rfam family "Bacterial small subunit ribosomal RNA", at positions 28 to 507 of the family's 1533-position model. The record is from RNAcentral.
GACGAACGCUGGCGGCGUGCUUAACACAUGCAAGUCGAACGGAAAUGCCCUUCUUUUGUGGGGUGCUCGAGUGGCGAACGGGUUAGUAACACGUGAGUAACCUGCCCUUGACUUUGGGAUAACUUCAGGAAACUGGGGCUAAUACCGGAUAGGAGCUCCUGCUGCAUGGUGGGGGUUGGAAAGUUUCGGCGGUUGGGGAUGGACUCGCGGCUUAUCAGCUUGUUGGUGGGGUAGUGGCUUACCAAGGCUUUGACGGGUAGCCGGCCUGAGAGGGUGACCGGCCACAUUGGGAAUGAGAUACGGCCCAGACUCCUACGGGAGGCAGCAGGGGGGAAUAAUGCAAAAUGGGCGGAAGCCUGAUGCAGGAACGCCGCGUGCGGGAUGACGGCCUUCGGGUUGUAAACCGCUUUCGCCUGGGAAGAAGCGUGAGUGACGGUAAUGGGUAAAGAAGCACAGGCUAACUAAGUG